RNAcentral lists this long non-coding RNA (1924 nucleotides) under Nicotiana benthamiana. RNAcentral describes it as "long non-coding RNA (NBEN_LNC009023)". Lineage: Eukaryota; Viridiplantae; Streptophyta; Magnoliopsida; Solanales; Solanaceae. The record is from RNAcentral.
UCUAUGGGCGUCCGCUACCCUCUUCCCACCCUUACCUCCCGCCCUACCCGCAGGACCACCCCCUGCUCCCCUACUCACUCCCGCUACCACCCCCAACCCCCGUGGACAUGACCUUACGCUAACUUCCCCCGCCGCGGCCACUAUCCCUCCAACCGACUAUGGGGAACAGUAGCGCACACACGCACUAUAGCGAAAUACGCAAAAAGGUGCAAACUAGAUAGCUACAGAAUAGACCUCACUCGAAAUGCUAGCUAAAAUACGUAAAAAGGUGCACAAAGUAAAUAAGAGAGCGGGAGGUACCAACUCCCGGUGGAAAAACCUGAAAGUAUACUUUGAUGCGCCCAAGUUUUCCUGAAGCUUCGUGUAGUUUUAUUGCGUCCUGCCGCGAGUCUGGAUGGGAGUCACCUGUCCAAGAAAACAGAACACACCCACACACACCCACAAAAAGCAGAGGAGAGAAUAGGAAGAAAAAAGAAAAAAAAAACAAGCUAAACUAAAAUAGUAGAAGAAUUCUUGCCAUAGAUUUUCGGUAGAGAAUAAGAACUAGAAAAUUCCAAAAAGGAAGGUAAAAAAAUUUGAGAAACCUAAAAAGAAUCAAUCUUUAUUAAAAUACAAGGAGUGGGGUGAUAUGGAAAAGCGUAUAGGAUGAGAAAAAAUGGUCAAAAAGAAUCUGAAAUAAAAUUAAAACCCUGAAAAAAUAUAAAACUUAGCUUGCUAACAGGAAAAAGACACCAAGAAAAAGGAAAAGAGCAGGAAGUUGGCGGAAAAAUUUCCGGCGAGAAGCAAGAAUUCAAGCACUAAGAAACAAUAAGUUGCAAUUUAUACGUAUCCUCAAAUCAGGAUAUUACUGGAAUAAACUCCUUAAAAUCGAAAAGAAUAAACACCUUAAAAUUUUACAAAGCCAAACUGGGAACUUAAAUUCCCCCACAAAAGAAGAAAUCAAAACGUAAAAAGGAAAUCAGGAUUUUCAGUGGAAGAAAAUAAAGGGAAAUACUUUCAAGAAUGGUAAUUAAUGAACCAACAAUGAGAUACUAAUGGACCCUUAAUUAGCUAUAAGUCUUCCAACAAUGAGAUAAAAUCACCCAGAAAGAAGAGUUAAAAAAUUGGUUAGUACGACUAGUUGGAGAAUCACAAAAGAAGAAAUCAAAACGUAAAAAAGAAAUCAGGAUUUUCAGUGGAAGAAAAUAAAGGGAAAUACUUUCAAGAAUGGUAAUUAAUGAACCAACAAUGAGAUACUAAUGGACCCUUAAUUAGCUAUAAGUCUUCCAACAAUGAGAUAAAAUCACCCAGAAAGAAGAGUUAAAAAAUUGGUUAGUACGACUAGUUGGAGAAAAAUCAACAAAAUCCAGAAGAUGUAGCAGAGUCAGAUUGAAAAUUAACAAACAGAGGCAAAAUGAUUCGAUAAGAAAAGGAAACAAAAGGGAAUUCCAGAAAAAAAAGUAACUGUUUAAGAACUGUCAACAAAUUCUACGAAAGAAAAGACGAAACUGAACCUGCCGCUGUGAAAUUUGACGGCCGAAUAGAACCCUAGCUUUGAUCGAACCCUAUAAGUCUUGUGUUGAUUAAUUAAUGUGUCCUAGAAAAGAAUACCGGGGAUGGCGUCGCCGGCCGAAGCUAGGGUCGCCGGAGAUGAAGUCGCCGUAUGAGGGGACUGGGGAAUUAUUAGUUAAUAGGAACAUAAAUUACGAUAUUUUUGUUUCCUGCAAAACCAUAAUCAAGAGAUCAAUGUCAUUUUCUAUAGUCCAACUAUAUCAAGAGCAAUAAGAAUACUAAUAAUUUAAUAAUUGUUCAAACACAAUUGAAAUAGUGUUAACUCUUCAACAACAUUUAUCCAAAUAUAUUAAUAACAAUAUAAAGUAAUAGCAAUUUCACUUUAAAAUAAACAAGUACAAAUAUAGUACUAAAACAUAAGCACAAAAUUAAG